AACUAGCGGAGACUAGUCCAGACAGAAAGUUAGGGUUGUUACGGGUGUUACGAUGUUUUUCGUGACCCAUCGGAUUCUUUGCACAUCAACAUUUGUUGUGACUCCAUCUUAAAUCUUAAUGGACAUUUUGACUUGUCAUAGCAGGAAAAGCACAGCUGAAAUUGAUAACCUUAACGAUGGCUCAAUUCCAUCAAGUGUCCUGGUAAGCUAUUGCUAGCUAUCGCUAUGUCAGUGAGUCAGCAUGCACAAUACCAGGGCCUCUCCUAAGUGGAACGCAGCCAUCAUUAGCUAAUGGUUUUGAAUACACCUGUGCUUUUCCUACUAUGACAUGUCAACAUGUCUGCCAUGAAAAGGGUCUAGCUAUACUAUGGUGGCACGAUGUAAUGUAACAGCUAAAUAAGGCAUAAAUAAAGUAUAUUAAAUUAAUAACACACGUUUGCACUGGCAAUAUAGGCCAAGCUGAAAUGUCUUUCCUAAUCAGUCGCAUAACACGGCGAAACACCGGUCCAAGACAAAAACAUAGUCGGUUACAUAGCUAGCUAACUCCAUGUUUUAUGCAGAAGCAAGGCGAAUCAUUGUUUUGACACUCUGGUAAACAGACGAGCUAGCUAUCGCUAGCGUGUUAGUUAGCCGGGUUUAGCUGUUUCACACGCUCUCCGGUCUUUGUGCUAAGGCAGAGGACAUGCUGGUGUCCACAUGGAUCAGCAGGACAAACACUCCUCCCAAUGUCAAGGUUGUAGUUGUUGUUGCCGACCACCAUGGCCAUCAGCUCAGAGGGCUGGAACAGCGACAGGAUAUCCCCCCCGCACACCUUCAGGAAGCCAGAGGAGAAGGCCGAGUACUGCUCACUCACCGAGUCUGAGAACACGUAGCGCAGCUCAGAGGACAGGUUACCUGGCCUCGGUGGGGGAGAGCUCCUUGAAGUCCUCCAGCUUUGAUGGCACAUUGAGCAGCUUCUUGUAGAGAACGAGUGGGAAGUGGAGGUCCACCACUGUGGAGUUGUAGAUGGCCAGACCGCAGAUGAUCCCGAUCAGGUAUCAAUAUGCUGAUCGACCGAGUUUUCGUCGGAUGUUCAAACAGCAUCUGAAACACCCUCCCCACCACACCUUUCCGACAUCGAAAUUAGAGAGUCUGGGGACAAUUCAACAAUUACGCCCACUUCACGCAGCGAUUGGCCAGCUCCGGACAAGGAGAGAGCAAAGCUGUGGUCUCCCCCGGUGGUUAUCUGUGCAAAGGGAAUACCAGCCAGAGACUUCAGGGGAUAAGGGAGCAACCUGCCGGGCUCUCCUUUCCCCAGCCCGAGCUGACCGCUGGUGUUCUGGCCCCACGUGAACAGCUGGCCAUCUGAGAAGCAAAAAUAAGUAACUGUAUACAACAUUUGUUUAGUUAUGUGGGACAAUCUAAAACUAAUGUGUUUAUUUAUAAAUUACAGCUUGUACAGUGUUUUUUUUUGGGGGGGCGGGGGCAUGUUUUCUUGACUGACGGGUGUGUCAGCCUAUCGCUCUCAGCCUUUGUGAUUUGACAAUUCCUAGUCCCACUUUAGCUCCAACCAAUGGUCAAAAUAUCCCACAGAAAGAAAUCAAAAGCAUACGUGUAGGGAACCAAAAUACAAUGCAAUUGGUCAGUCAAGAUGAAAUUGAGAUGCUUUCUGAUGCAAAGUUUAAACUGGAUAUGGAUAGAGUUUGGACAAACAGUAGAUGGAUACAACAGUACAGACGUAAACGGUGCUGGUGUACUAUGAGGAGAUUGUGUCUUUCACACCUCUAGAAAGUGCAACGCAGUGCUGAUUCCCACACAUUACUUGAGAGAUCCGGUGGUCACACAGCCUUUUAACCAACCUAGGAAAAAAGAAAUGUGUUAAUCAAACCAUGCCCAAGGCUACUCAAUGUUCAAAAUUACAAAUUACAGAAAAAAACACCCUCUUUUUUUUUCAGUUGUCAGAAGAAGUCAUUAAAUGCUACCAUAGUGAUAUGGUUAAAGUUCGGAGAUUGUCCACGGGUAAGGGACCUAACUUUGUCGGCUUACAUUUUUUUUUGUGAACAUUUCUAAUUCAUAAUAUACAAGCUAACUGUAAGGCCAGCCGUAAGAAACUACUUUAGAGUCCUAAAUGUUUCACUAUCCCAAAGCAGGCAAUUCACUGCAUCUUAACAGUUAAAUAGUGGCCGGGUUGGUUCAGUG
Molecule: long non-coding RNA, 2178 nt
Organism: Perca flavescens (yellow perch)
Lineage: Eukaryota; Metazoa; Chordata; Actinopteri; Perciformes; Percidae
Exons: 6
Source: RefSeq, a predicted model, not a curated record